This 3441-nucleotide unclassified non-coding RNA is filed under the name Hevea brasiliensis (rubber tree). The record is from RNAcentral. Lineage: Eukaryota; Viridiplantae; Streptophyta; Magnoliopsida; Malpighiales; Euphorbiaceae.
CAACGCAUCGCCAAGUGUAGGCUAAAAAGACUAAUUUCUUCUGAUAUUCAUCACCACAACACCAAGCGCUGUAUUUGUCGAGGUGCCAUUUCUUCUGUCUACUCAAAAGUACGAAGAAGAAAAUUCAGCAAAAUAUUCUCUAAAAUCAUAAUUCUCAAGCAGAGUUUGAAAUUAAGAAAUACAACAAUAAUGAUAAAGAAAAUGACAAGCAGCAUGGGAAAGUAUUAAUCAGAAAGGUUAAAAUUAAGUUUAUUGAUGUAGGGACUGUUCCUGAUCACGACUUGCGAGUUCAAACCUCAGAGCCCAAUCAACCAAAAAUGAAAAAUGAAAGGUUGAAUUUAGAGGCUUUGAUUAAAAAAUAUUAGGAAUUCAACAGGCAGCAAGUAAAGCUGGCAAACAACAAGAGUAAAUACACACUCGGAACUUUUUCUGCUCGCAAAUAUUUUACUAAAAGAGAAAUACCCAAACAGCAAGUAAAGCUGGCAAACGCAAGAGUAAAUCAACUUGUUUGACAAAAGGAAUCAAUCUCUGUAAAAUGCUAAUACCUGGCAGUUGCACAAAACCACCAACUAUAUAGAUCAUUACAACAAAGACUUCCACUGCCUCUCAGUUAUAUCUUAUAUGUAUAAAGGCUUUUCUGCUAAAUGAACAUUUUUUUCCAGCCAACAUCCUUAGCCUGUCAAUGCUCAUAAAUCAAUUAUCUAGGCUGUUCCAUGAUUGCUAUAUGCUUCUUUCUUGCAGGAAAUAUAAGCAUUUAAAGCAUAUGUUGAAUAUGCAAUAAAAUUGUGUGGCUCAUAACAUGGUUGGCCUUGCAAUACUGUGAGCAAUCAACUUUUCCAGGUCAACAAGCCCAAUCCAGUGCUGGCUGUAGCAUGUUUGGUUCAGCACCUGCCUUUGCAUUACGAGGGUCGAGUUUGUGGCAUCAUUUGCCAACACAGUACCAGCACCUGUAAAGUGCAAGAUAUAUUACACAGACAAACAAAGUAGAUUUCUAAACAUAAGAAGAGAAAUCUGCAAAGAGCAUCAAAUGACUUAAUUUCCCUCUCACACAUACCUACAUAAGGCUGGCAUAUCAGACACUACAUCUUUACUAUUGGGCUUGCAUAAAUAAGCAUAACAAAAGCUUUCGUCCUGAUGCAGAUUAUCAUCACCUCUCUUUGUUCUGUUUUUAGUGUUUAUAUUAUUUUCCACUUCCUUUAUUUAGUUUUGGUCAAGGGUGGUUUUUUUUUUUUCUUUUUAAAAAGCUAAGGUGAGAAUAUAUUUAUAAGAACAGAAUUACAUAAUAACCCCAGUUGAAAGGUUCAAACGCAAAAGAACCCACAACCAGCAGGAAGAUGCACCAAAAAAAAAAUCAACAGCAUAAAACAAAGACAGAAACAAAUUAAAUUGAAUUUAAAAAAUUUUAGCAACCACCCUAUCUUGAAGGAAGCAAUUUAGCAGUCUUAACAUCCAUACCUCUUGCAGCAACUACCUCAUUUGAAAUUUAAUCACAACAAAUUAUCUGCAAGUUCAAUGAGAAAACAAAAAUCUAAAUGAUUCUAUCCAUUAAAAAAAAAUCAACAAUAUCUAAAGGCAUACAUCGCAAUAAAUCAAUUUAGCUCUCAAUUAUUGAUAAAGUAAAUUUAACAAAACUAUAUUAUUAAAAUUCACUGAAUGGUAUAUGCCCUCAUAUUCCACAACCCCCUCUCCUCCCCUCUUCUCUUUCACUUUUCUCUUUUCAUCACAUCCCUUCACAAACAAUGCAACAGUUGCCCACUCUCCACUUCCCUAUACAAAUUGACAAUGAAAAGAACAAAUUUUUUCUCUUCAGUCAAGUACAUACUAAUGUGCCCUAAAACCUUAUAGAAACACCAAACCAAAAACCAUCAUUCAUUUCCUUAAAUGAAGCAGAGAGGUGGUGAAUUCCAAACCAUGCAGAUUCCUUAAAUUGAAGGACAUUUUGGUGCAGUGAAUUCUUUUGAGAGAAAUCAAAUUACAAAAUAAUUAUUCCACCUAUGUAGUUGAAUGAAAAAUCAAGCCACAAUACAUGACUAUCAACACAAAUUUGCUCACCCAAAAAGUUCCAACUAUGUGUAUUCAGUUUUUGAUCAUAAUAAGUUGGAAGGAAAAAUUGGACACAAUCACUGGAAAUUUCUCAAGUGGUACAAAAUUAAUAGUAGCAAAAUGCACACAUACUCUUGAAAGCUUUAUCCCAACCACUUACCCUCUUUGAACAUGAAUUCCAUUAGCCUUACACCACAUAAAAUGAGAAAGCCAAUAUUUAGACAUCUAGUUGCACUAGUUCUGCAGUAUCCCAUGAAUUUCACGUAUCAACAACUUUGAACUAUCAACAACGUGUUUGCUUUCAUAGACUAUAUGUCUACAGAAAUCAUGCCUAGGAGCUGGCUUAAAUGGCUGUAAUUGUAUGAAGGGAUCUGAUAUCACAGAUUUCUUGCAUAUCUCCCUUGCUGGUUGCACGUGAUUCAACCAGAAAUCAGCAAGUGCAAAUUUCAUAAUAUCCCAGUAUUCUACAUCUCGAUAUAACCUGAAUAGACUACUCCCUUUAGGAGUCCAAACAUAGAAAUCCAUCCAAUCCCUAUCCAGUAUUUCCAUUAAACCUUGAGCUUGUGGAAUGUGAUAUAAGGGAAUCCGCUUCCAAGGUGAAGCGUUGCUCAUAUCUCCAUUGAAAAAGGGACAUUUUAUUUCCAAAACUCCUCGAGAAGGCAACCCAUAUACCAAUCCGUCAAUCACCCCAUCAGGUGAAGCUCCUAGCCAAUCAUCUUCUGGAUUCCUCUCACCAUAGACCUGAAAUUCAGGAAACAUAACCGUAUUUCCUGUAAUCAACUUGUAUCUUUCAAGUGCUUCCUCUUCUUUAAUGUUGUUCCAACAAGUAGCCAAGUUUCCAGAAAAUGGAUCUAUUGCACCAAUUUUCUCUAACCAAAGUUGGACUCUUCGACCAGGCCAAAAACCAAUAGCCCCAGCAAAAGUGCUUGCUGUCAGUUUAUGCUUUCUUUGCUCUUGCCAGUUUUUGAACCAAUGCUGAAGACCACUUGAUUGAAGAACCGAAAAUUUUUCACCAGUUCGAGAUUUAAGAUGAUGAAAAUAGCUUGAACCUCUUAUAGAGGUAUGUUUGAUCUCAACAUUGGCAGUGGAACUCUUGCUUGUUGGGUGUAAUGAGCUCUGCCUUGAGUAGUUCCUUAUCUUGCCAGAAUCCACAACACGAGCAGCAAUCGUAAAGCUAUAAUCGCAGCUAUUAUCAGACAGAUGGUCAAUGUUUGAAGAGCAAGAUACAAAUUCUUCACGGGUAAUCCUCCAACGAGUCCGAAGCAUAGAGACGCCAAUGGUCCUUUUGCGAAGAAAUGAGAGAAAAUGGAAAUCCUGCGUUUGAAGUGAAAGAUUAUCUGACACCUUCUGUUGUUUUAUAUAUGAGGAAAUGAGAACCCUAGAAUGUAGAGGCUCAAG